RNAcentral lists this ribosomal RNA (813 nucleotides) under uncultured bacterium. Its description in RNAcentral is "bacterial SSU rRNA". It matches the Rfam family "Bacterial small subunit ribosomal RNA", at positions 80 to 895 of the family's 1533-position model. The record is from RNAcentral.
CUCGGAGUAGAUGAAGUGGCGCACGGGUGCGUAACGCGUAUGCAACCUACCCUUAACUGGGGGAUAGCCCGGAGAAAUUCGGAUUAAUGCCCCAUAGUAUUACAGAUUGGCAUCAUGAAGUAAUUAAAGAUUUAUUGGUUAAGGAUGGGCAUGCGUGACAUUAGCUAGUUGGUAAGGUAAUGGCUUACCAAGGCAACGAUGUCUAGGGGUUCUGAGAGGAUGAUCCCCCACACUGGUACUGAGAUACGGACCAGACUCCUACGGGAGGCAGCAGUAGGGAAUAUUGGUCAAUGGGCGAGAGCCUGAACCAGCCAUGCCGCGUGUAGGAAGACGGCUUUCUGAGUUGUAAACUACUUUUAUAUGGGAAGAAAAAGGCCAUGCGUGGCAAAUUGCCGGUACCAUAUGAAUAAGCACCGGCUAACUCCGUGCCAGCAGCCGCGGUAAUACGGAGGGUGCAAGCGUUGUCCGGAUUUAUUGGGUUUAAAGGGUGCGUAGGCGGGUCUUUAAGUCAGUGGUGAAAGCCUGCAGCUUAACUGUAGAACUGCCAUUGAUACUGGAGACCUUGAGUAUACUAGAGGUAGGCGGAAUUUAUGGUGUAGCGGUGAAAUGCAUAGAUACCAUAAAGAACACCGAUAGCGUAGGCAGCUUACUGGAGUAUAACUGACGCUGAUGCACGAAAGCAUGGGUAGCGAACAGGAUUAGAUACCCUGGUAGUCCAUGCCGUAAACGAUGAUUACUCGAUGUUGGCGAUACACAGUCAGCGUCCAAGCGAAAGCGUUAAGUAAUCCACCUGGGGAGUACGCUCGCAAGAGU